ACUCAUCUCCCUUCGCUUCCGGCAAAUGGUGACGCCCGAUCGUGAUACGGCAACGCACCAAGGAGGAGUGAAGAACCGGGUCGGGUCCUGAAGCAGCCGGGACGGCAGAGAAGUGCGGAGAAAAAAAAAAGUGGAUAAAAAAGGAGCUGAGACACGCCGUGCCUCGGGUGUUGUAUAGAUGAGCCCGGCCAAUACUGCUGCCGCGACCUUGAAGAGCUGCAACAGCACUGACGAUUUAGGUGGAGACCGGGAAGCUUUAACAGGAGCACGAACCGCAGCGACCGUGCCCCGACACAAGUCGUCACUGCAGCACCAGCAUCCCCUCCUGUCUUCAACCCGCCACCACAGGGAGCCUCGGCUUUGACCUGGCAGCUGCAGUAGAUGUCACGCUGAUGUCCCCACACCCACAAAAAAUCCCGACAGGGAUUCAGGGACCUAUUGUUAUACAGGGUCACGCAGUGGGUGCUCUGCUUUUCGGAAGAUCAUCUGCGUCUAUGCUGGGAUUAUUUGUUUUGCCUGGCUUUAUUGAUGCGGACUAAACAGGAGAAAUUAUGGUCAUGGUACAUACCCUUUCCCUCCACUCCAAAUUAACAAAGGACAGAGAAUUGCUCAGCUGGGGCCACUUGAGCAAAUGUUUAAAGGAUUACAGGCUAUAAAAGGACAAGAGAGGGGAGAAAAUGGUUUUGGAUCCACCGGAGGACUUACAUUGCUGACUUAGAACCUUUCUGAGAGACCCAAGAAAAGGAUGGAAGUGGAAUUUCAAGACAGAAAAGAUCAUUGUCAGGCUUGCUGGACACUGGAGCAGAUUCCAGCAUCAUUAGCCCUAGCUGUUGGCCUCAACACUGGCCUUUGCAGCCAGCAGCCACCACAGUGACCGGGGUUGGAGGCUUUACCCUGGCUAGCCGUUCUUCUCUUCUCCGGGUUUGCAUAGAAGGGAAACAGCUAACAGCUAUCUUUUCUUAGUCCAAUUACCACCUACCGUGCAAUGCCUUAUAGGGCGGGACAUUAUGGCUCAGUUGGGGGUAGUUUUAACCCUUUGGGGUAAAAGCCAUUGCUUGGACCGUGGCUGAGGAACCUUGUGACAUUUGCUAUAGGGAUACUGGGUGUGCUUUUAAUGCUUUUGCUUUUUUGCCUUGUAUUUUUAAUUGUAUUCAAAAUAUGGUCAGUAGAAUGAUAGAAAAAACCUGGCAGACUAGUCUCCUUGCACAAAAAAGAAAAACGGGGGAUAUGUUGGAGAGUUUUGUGCAGACGUGGCUUGAGGAAAAAGGCCAUGAUCAUAUAGAGCUGGUUCAGCAGUAAAAAGCUAUAAGCAGUAAGUUUUUAUAAGCCUUUUCCUUACGAGAAAAACAACACUGUGUCCUUGA
RNAcentral lists this long non-coding RNA (1364 nucleotides) under Zonotrichia albicollis (white-throated sparrow). RNAcentral describes it as "lncRNA (ENSZALG00000004932.1)". The record is from RNAcentral. Lineage: Eukaryota; Metazoa; Chordata; Aves; Passeriformes; Passerellidae.